CGCGAGGGGACCGCGAGGGGACCGCGAGGGGACCGCGAGGGGCACCUGCCGGCGCCCCGGCGCGCUGAGGGAGGGUCGGUCCCGCCGUGGGGGUGGGUGGCCGGGAGAUAAGGCGGGUGGUGCCGCGGGACCGCGGUGGGAGGUCUUGCAUCAGGCUCCCGCUGCCAGCCGUCGGCUUUCCUCACAGCCCGUCAUCGAUGUAUUGCUUCUCCCUGGCUCCCGUGCGUUGCUGAUGGCGUUGCUAAACACAGGAAGGGUGUGUGUGCGUGUGAGGGACGUGUUUGUGUGUUUGUGUCGAGGGCUCGCUUUAGCUUGACCAUGAGGAGAUCACGUACGGGCUUGGGAAUAGGAUUGUACUUGCCGGCGGAGCCCGGUCGUUGUGGCUGGGCUGACGGAGGGACGAGAGCUGUGUUUAUCUGAUGCCUGGCGCGGUGGCACUCAACGAGCAGCGGUGAUUGACGAGUCCCUGGAGCAGAAACACCGGCACGGAGCUCACACCACGACAGAUCCAGUCUCAUGAAGUAUUUUGACCAUCUCGUAACAGGUUGUGUGUCUUCAGAAGUCUUAGUCUACAGAAGUAGAGGGUGCUCAAGUCUUUUGGGGGAAAGAAAAAAUACAUGAGGAGUAAGCUGAAGAAACAUUUAAAAGGAAGUGGGAGAUUCUGUAAUGUAAUUGGAAUGGAAAUAGCAUUAGGUAUGAUAACGGUAAACAGGAGUGUGCUAAACAAUCAUAUCCUGUAACUUUGAAGAAGGAACUGAAGUUAUUCACUUCUGUUUAAAACUCAUAUCAAGUGUUAAAAGAUGUGCACCAUAUACCCCUGUGAUGAAAUCAGUCGACCUGGGAUUUUUGCAGCCAGAUCAACAGUUGUGGAAGUUGCAUAAUUCAUGUGAUUUUGUAGCAUUCCUUUCCUUGUUGUCAUACUUGUCUUUGGUGUUUUUUAACAUCUCCUUGUAAAAUAAACCCAUCUUUCUCUGGAAAAAUCUACUUCCUCUAUACAAAUUGUGUUCUCUGUUUUUGUUCUGAUUAAGCAUUCCAAGAAGACUGUCAAUAAUUCUGAGGUGAAGUGUUUUCUUCAGUGAAGGUACUUGGACCAUCUUUCAAAAGAAACCAGAAUCCUCUGUAGUAAGAGCUGAGCUGGUAUGCCACCUAUGCAGCAUGAAGGCUGGCUUGGCAUCUGAUUUCAGCCUAGACGGGAGUUACGAUCAGUUCAAAAAGUUGAAUAGAAGUUUCUUCUUGUACCAUCCUGUUCACGGUGGGGCUGGGCUUGAAAGUGUUUUUAACUGUCAAGACAGAUUAACAAUUAAUAGUGCAAUGCAAUGGCUUUUUCAUUGGCUGGUGGAAGAAG
Cygnus atratus (black swan) is the source of this 1345-nucleotide long non-coding RNA. RefSeq lists it as uncharacterized. The transcript has 4 exons. The record is from RefSeq and is a predicted model, not a curated record. Lineage: Eukaryota; Metazoa; Chordata; Aves; Anseriformes; Anatidae.